CAUUAGAUGGCUGAAAAAUUAAGUGUUGGUCUCUUAAACCAAAUUAUAGUAUAUAUACUUCUAAUGA
Molecule: transfer RNA, 67 nt
Filed under: Dagualachesilloides caliensis
Lineage: Eukaryota; Metazoa; Arthropoda; Insecta; Psocodea; Sphaeropsocidae
Description: tRNA-Lys
Source: RNAcentral